CAUGAGCAGGUCAUUGUUUCGCUCAGCCACAAGGAGAAGAGAAAUCAGCUCAGAGUAAUUUUUGAAACCUUUCUCUCUGUACUGUUGUGUCAGAACCAUAUUGGAGGCAUGAAACGUUGUAAACGUUUUUUCAAGCAUAUCAUAAGCAGUUAUAGUAUCUCCACAGAGUUUCAACUUAGAAGUAAUUUUAAACAUUGCAGAAUUAUAUUCAGAAACAGACUUAAACUCUUGGAGCCUCAGAUGAGCCCAAUCAUAUCGUGCUUGUGGCAGAGUGACCAACUUCAGGUUGUCAUAUCUCUCCUUUAAGCCUUUCCACAA
This 318-nucleotide long non-coding RNA is filed under the name Nicotiana benthamiana. Its description in RNAcentral is "long non-coding RNA (NBEN_LNC036006)". Lineage: Eukaryota; Viridiplantae; Streptophyta; Magnoliopsida; Solanales; Solanaceae. The record is from RNAcentral.